CCUACGGGAGGCAGCAGUGAGGCAUAUUGGUCAAUGGACGAGAGUCUGAACCAGCCAAGUAGCGUGAAGGAUGACUGCCCUAUGGGUUGUAAACUUCUUUUAUAAAGGAAUAAAACGAGGCACGUGUGCCUUUUUGCAUGUACUUUAUGAAUAAGGAUCGGCUAACUCCGUGCCAGCCGCCGCGGUAAUACGGAGGAUCCGAGCGUUAUCCGGAUUUAUUGGGUUUAAAGGGAGCGUAGAUGGGUUGUUAAGUCAGUUGUGAAAGUUUGCGGCUCAACCGUAAAAUUGCAAUUGAUACUGGCAGUCUUGAGUACAGUUGAGGUAGGCGGAAUUCGUGGUGUAGCGGUGAAAUGCUUAGAUAUCACGAAGAACCCCGAUUGCGAAGGCAGCUUACUAAACUGUGACUGACAUUGAUGCUCGAAAGUGUGGGUAUCAAACAGGAUUAGAUACCCUGGUAGUC
RNAcentral lists this ribosomal RNA (460 nucleotides) under uncultured bacterium. RNAcentral's name for it is "partial 16S ribosomal RNA". It matches the Rfam family "Bacterial small subunit ribosomal RNA", at positions 338 to 795 of the family's 1533-position model. The record is from RNAcentral.